This 96-nucleotide ribosomal RNA is filed under the name Vibrio vulnificus. Lineage: Bacteria; Pseudomonadati; Pseudomonadota; Gammaproteobacteria; Vibrionales; Vibrionaceae. The record is from RNAcentral.
GGACCCACCUGAUUCCAUUCCGAACUCAGAAGUGAAACGAAAUAGCGUCGAUGGUAGUGUGGGGUUUCCCCAUGUGAGAGUAGAACAUCGCCAGGC